UAGGGAAUCUUCCGCAAUGGGCGAAAGCCUGACGGAGCAACGCCGCGUGAGUGAAGAAGGAUUUCGGUUCGUAAAGCUCUGUUGUUAGGGAAGAAUGAUUGUGUAGUAACUAUACACAGUAGAGAUGGUACCUAACCAGAAAGCCACGGCUAACUACGUGCCAGCAGCCGCGGUAAUACGUAGGUGGCAAGCGUUGUCCGGAAUUAUUGGGCGUAAAGCGCGCGCAGGUGGUUUAAUAAGUCUGAUGUGAAAGCCCACGGCUCAACCGUGGAGGGUCAUUGGAAACUGUUAAACUUGAGUGCAGGAGAGAAAAGUGGAAUUCCUAGUGUAGCGGUGAAAUGCGUAGAGAUUAGGAGGAACACCAGUGGCGAAGGCGGCUUUUUGGCCUGUAACUGACACUGAGGCGCGAAAGCGUGGGGAGCAAACAGGAUUAGAUACCCUGGUAGUCCACGCCGUAAACGAUGAGUGCUAAGUGUUGGUCUCAUAAGAGAUCAGUGCUGCAGCUAACGCAUUAAGCACUCCGCCUGGGGAGUACGACCGCAAGGUUG
Molecule: ribosomal RNA, 548 nt
Filed under: uncultured bacterium
Lineage: Bacteria
Description: bacterial SSU rRNA
Rfam family: Bacterial small subunit ribosomal RNA
Source: RNAcentral